This 406-nucleotide ribosomal RNA is filed under the name uncultured bacterium. RNAcentral describes it as "partial 16S ribosomal RNA". It matches the Rfam family "Bacterial small subunit ribosomal RNA", at positions 30 to 526 of the family's 1533-position model. The record is from RNAcentral.
AUUGAACGCUGGCGGCAGGCCUAACACAUGCAAGUCGAACGAGUGGCGGACGGGUGAGUAAUGUCUGGGAAACUGCCUGAUGGAGGGGGAUAACUACUGGAAACGGUAGCUAAUACCGCAUACCAUCGGAUGUGCCCAGAUGGGAUUAGCUAGUAGGUGGGGUAACGGACCACCUAGGCGACGAUCCCUAGCUGGUUUGAGCGGAUGACCCGCCAACCUGGAAAUUGGACACGGUCCCGCAUCCCUAGGGAGGCAUCAGUGGGGAAUAUUGCACAAGUGGCGCAAGCCUGAUUCAGCCAUGCCGCGUGGAUUAAGAAGGCCUUCGGGUUGUAAAGUACUUUCAGCGGGGAGGCGUUACCCGCAGAAGAAGCACCGGCUAACUCCGUGCCAGCAGCCGCGGUAAUUC